This 3313-nucleotide long non-coding RNA is filed under the name Homo sapiens (human). RNAcentral's name for it is "long independently transcribed non-coding RNA 2917 (LINC02917)". The record is from RNAcentral. Lineage: Eukaryota; Metazoa; Chordata; Mammalia; Primates; Hominidae.
ACAUUUUGCCGUUCCGACUCUAAAGCAACUACAUUUCUCUACAGAGCACAGAACUACAUCAUAAAGAUGAAUAAGAUAAUUAAAGGAACCCAAAUAUAUGGGCAUAAACAUAUAAACCUGAGGUAGGACUAUUAUUAUAAUGAUGUUAAACAAUGAGCAUAUUCAAAAGCUAAGUAAUUAAUACAAACUGUCCAAGACCAUUUUUAAAUAUUGCAUGCAUAUGGAAAUUUGGAAAGCAAGAAGGAAUCACAAGCUGGGCCACUGGGAAAGUUCGAGAGCCCUAAUCCUGCCAGAGGCACUGCAGGGUGUAGUCACUUUCAGCACUCCUGUCUGACAACUCCCAGACUUUUCCUGCUUUAAUCUCUUCAAUGCCCAACUCAGAGAUAAAUCUUCCUAAAAUAACAUUCUCACCAUGUUGCUUUCCUGGUCAAGAACCUACAGGCUCUCCUCAUAGAUUACUGCAUCAAGAUCCCAAUACUCAGCUGGGCAUGAUGGCUCAUGCCUGUAAUCCUAGCACUGUGACAGGUCGAGGUGGGUGCAUAGCUUGAGCCCAGGGAGUUCAAGAACAGUCUGGGCAACAUGGCAAAACCCCAUCUCUACCAAAAAAAAAAAAAAAAGGAAAAUUGGCCAGGCAUGGUGGUGCAUGCCUGUAGUUCAGCUACUUGGAGGCUGAGGCAGGAGGAUCACUUGAGCCCAGGAGGUUGAGGUUGCAGUGAGCUGAAAUUGCACCACUACACUCCAGCCCAAGUGAUAGAGUGAAAGACUCUGUCAAACAAACAAACAAACAAACAAAAAACAAAAACACUCAAAUUCUGUACUUGAAAUUCACGGUUCUGGCAGAGAAACAACAAAAAAAGAAAAUUUCAGGCCAAUAUCCCUGAUGAACAUCGAUGUGAGAAUCCUCAAUAAAAUACUGGCAAACCGAAUCCAGCAGCACAUCAAAACGCUUAUCCACCACGACCAAGUCGUCUUCAUACCUGGGAUGCAAGGCUGGUUCAACUUAUGCAAAUCAAUAAAUGUGAUCCAUCACAUACACAGAACCAAUGACAUAAACACAUUAUUAUCUCAAUAGAUGCAGAAAAGGCCUUUGACAAAAUUCAACACCCCUUCAUGCUAAAAUCUCUCAAUAAACUAGGUAUCAGUUGUACCUAUCUCAAAAUAAUAAGAGCUAUUGAUGACAAACCCACAGCCAAUAUUAUACUGAAUGGGCAAAAACUGGAAGCAUUCCCUUUGAAAACUGGCACAAGACAAGGAUGCCCUCUCUCACCACUACUAUUCAGCAUAGUAUUGGAAGUUCUGGCCAGGGCAAUCAGGUGAGAGAAAGAAAUAAAGGGUAUUCAAAUAGGAAGAGAGGAAGUCAAAUUGUCUCCGUUCGCAGAUGACGUGAUUGUAUAUUUAGAAAACCCCAUCGUCUCAGCACAAAAUCUCCUUAAGCUGAUAAGCAACUUCAGUAAAUUCUCAGGUACAAAAUCAAUGUGCAAAAAUCACAAGCAUUCCUAUACACCAAUAACAGACAAACAGCCAAAUCAUGAGUGAACUCCCAUUCACAAUUGCUGCUUAGAGAAUAAAAUACCUAUGAAUCCAGCUUACAAGGGAUGUGAAGGACCUCUUCAAGGAGAACUACAAACCUGUUCAAGGACAUAAGAGAGGACAUAAACAAAUGGAAAAACAUUCCGUGCUCAUGGAUAGGAAGAAUCAAUAUCAUGAAAAUGGCCAUACUGCCCAAAGUAAUUUACAGAUUCAAUGCUAUCCCCAUCAAGCUACCAUUGACUUUCUUCACAGAAUUGGAAAAAACUACUUUAAACUUCAUAUGGAACCAAAAAAGAGCCCGCAUAGCCAAGACAAUCCUAAGCCAAAAGAACAAAGCUGGAGGCAUCAUGCUACCUGACUUCAAACUAUAUUACAAGGCUACAGCAACCAAAACAGCAUGGUACUGUUACCAAAACAGAUAUAUAGACCAAUAGAACAGAACAGAGACCUCAGAAAUAAUGUCACACAUCUACAACCAUCUGAUCUUUGACAAACCUGACACAAACAAGCAAUGAGGAAAAGACUCCCUGUUUAAUAAUUGGUGUUGGGAAAAGUGGCUAGCCAUAGACAGAAAACUGAAACUGGACCCCUUCCUUACACCUUAUACAAAAAUCAACUCAAGAUGGAUUAAAGACUUAAACGUAAGACCUAAAACCUUAAAAAUCCUACAAGAAAACCUAGGCAUUACCAUUCAGGACAUAGGCAUGGGCAAAGACUUCAUGUCUAAAACACCAAAAGCAAUGGCAACAAAAGCCAAAAUUGACAAAUGGGAUCUAAUUAAACUAAAAAGCUUCUGCACAGCAAAAGGAAUUAUCAUCAGAGUGAACAGGCAACCUACAGAAUGGGAGAAAAAUUUUGCAAUCUAUCUAUCUCACAAAGGGCUAAUAUCCAGAAUCUACAAAGAAUUUAAACAAAUUUACAAGAGAAAAACAACCCCCUGGAAAAGUAGGCAAAGGAUAUGAACAGACACUUUUCAAAAGAAGACAUUUAUGCAGCCAACAAACAUGAAAAAAAUGCUCGUCAUCACUGGUCAUUAGAGAAAUGCAAAUCAAAACCACAGUGAGAUACCAUCUCACACCAGUUACAAUGGCUAUCAUUAAAAGGUCAGGAAACAACAGAUUCUGAUGAGGAUGUGGAGAAAUAGGAAUGCUUUUAUACUGUUGGUGUGAGUGUAAAUUAGUUCGACCAUUGUGGAAGACAGUGUGGCGAUUCCUCAAAGAUCUAGAACUAGAAAUACCAUUUGAUCCAGCAAUCCCAUUACUGGGUAUAUACCCAAAGAAUUAUAAAUUAUUCUACUAUAAAGACACAUGCACAUGUGUGUUUAUUGCAGCACUAUUCACAAUAGCAAAGACUUGGAACUAACCUAAAUGUCCAUCAGUAAUAGACUGGAUAAAGAAAAUGUGGCAAAUAUACACCAUAGAAUACUAUGUAGCCAUCAAAAUGGAUGAGUUCAUGUCCUUUGCAGGGACAUGGAUGAAGCUGGAAACCAUAAUUCUCAGCAAACUAUCACAAGAACAGAAAACCUAACACCACAUAUUUUCACUCAUAAGUGGGAAUUGAACAAUGAGAACACAUGGACACAGGGAGGGGAACGUUACACACUGGGGCCUGUCGGGGGGAUGGGGGACUAAGGGAGGAAUAGCAUAGGGGAAAUACCUAAUGUAGGUGAUGGGUUGAUGGGUGCAGCAAACCACCAUGGCACAUGUAUACCUAGGUAAAAAAACUGCACAUUCUGCACAUGUACUCCAGAACUUAAAGUAUAAUAAUAAAAAAAAGAAAUUCA